Candidatus Blackburnbacteria bacterium is the source of this 88-nucleotide non-coding RNA. The record is from Rfam. Lineage: Bacteria; Candidatus Blackburniibacteriota.
GGAGAGGUCGGAUAGUUUGGUUUAUUCCGAUGGUUUCGAAAACCAUUGUCUCGCAAGAGACUCGUGGGUUCAAAUCCCACCCUCUCCG